Molecule: unclassified non-coding RNA, 347 nt
Filed under: soil metagenome
Description: partial contains 5.8S ribosomal RNA, internal transcribed spacer 2, and large subunit ribosomal RNA
Rfam family: 5.8S ribosomal RNA (bases 1-120)
Source: RNAcentral
GAUGAAGAACGUAGCGAAAUGCGAUAAGUAAUGUGAAUUGCAGAAUUCAGUGAAUCAUCGAAUCUUUGAACGCACAUUGCGCCCGCCAGUAUUCUGGCGGGCAUGCCUGUCUGAGCGUCAUUUCAACCCUCAUGCCCCUAGGGCGUGGUGUUGGGGAUCGGCCAAAGCCCGCGAGGGACGGCCGGCCCCUAAAUCUAGUGGCGGACCCGUCGUGGCCUCCUCUGCGAAGUAGUGAUAUUCCGCAUCGGAGAGCGAUGAGCCCCUGCCGUUAAAACCCCAACUUUCCAAGGUUGACCUCAGAUCAGGUAGGAAUACCCGCUGAACUUAAGCAUAUCAUAAGCGGAGGA